ACGAGCGGCGGACGGGUGAGUAAUGUCUGGGAAACUGCCUGAUGGAGGGGGAUAACUACUGGAAACGGUAGCUAAUACCGCAUGACGUCUUCGGACCAAAGUGGGGGACCUUCGGGCCUCACGCCAUCAGAUGUGCCCAGAUGGGAUUAGCUAGUAGGUGGGGUAAUGGCUCACCUAGGCGACGAUCUCUAGCUGGUCUGAGAGGAUGACCAGCCACACUGGAACUGAGACACGGUCCAGACUCCUACGGGAGGCAGCAGUGGGGAAUAUUGCACAAUGGGCGCAAGCCUGAUGCAGCCAUGCCGCGUGUAUGAAGAAGGCCUUCGGGUUGUAAAGUACUUUCAGCGAGGAGGAAGGCAUUGUGGUUAAUAACCACAGUGAUUGACGUUACUCGCAGAAGAAGCACCGGCUAACUCCGUGCCAGCAGCCGCGGUAAUACGGAGGGUGCAAGCGUUAAUCGGAAUUACUGGGCGUAAAGCGCACGCAGGCGGUUGAUUAAGUCAGAUGUGAAAUCCCCGAGCUUAACUUGGGAACUGCAUUUGAAACUGGUCAGCUAGAGUCUUGUAGAGGGGGGUAGAAUUCCAGGUGUAGCGGUGAAA
RNAcentral lists this ribosomal RNA (599 nucleotides) under Obesumbacterium sp. SB12. RNAcentral describes it as "bacterial SSU rRNA". It matches the Rfam family "Bacterial small subunit ribosomal RNA", at positions 91 to 686 of the family's 1533-position model. The record is from RNAcentral. Lineage: Bacteria; Pseudomonadati; Pseudomonadota; Gammaproteobacteria; Enterobacterales; Hafniaceae.